GGAUGACCUGUGGAUCGGAGUGAAAGGCUAAUCAAGCUCGGAGAUAGCUGGUUCUCCUCGAAAGCUAUUUAGGUAGCGCCUCAUGUAUCACUGUAGGGGGUAGAGCACUGUUUCGGCUAGGGGGUCAUCCCGACUUACCAAACCGAUGCAAACUCCGAAUACCUACAAGUGCCGAGCAUGGGAGACACACGGCGGGUGCUAACGUCCGUCGUGAAAAGGGAAACAACCCAGACCGUCAGCUAAGGUCCCAAAGUUAUGGUUAAGUGGGAAACGAUGUGGGAAGGCUUAGACAGCUAGGAGGUUGGCUUAGAAGCAGCCACCCUUUAAAGAAAGCGUAAUAGCUCACUAGUCGAGUCGGCCUGCGCGGAAGAUGUAACGGGGCUCAAACCAUACACCGAAGCUACGGGUAUCAUCUUCGGAUGAUGCGGUAGAGGAGCGUUCUGUAAGCCUGUGAAGGUGAGUUGAGAAGCUUGCUGGAGGUAUCAGAAGUGCGAAUGCUGACAUGAGUAACGAUAAUGGGUGUGAAAAACACCCACGCCGAAAGACCAAGGUUUCCUGCGCAACGUUAAUCGACGCAGGGUUAGUCGGUCCCUAAGGCGAGGCUGAAAAGCGUAGUCGAUGGAAAACAGGUUAAUAUUCCUGUACUUCUGGUUAUUGCGAUGGAGGGACGGAGAAGGCUAGGCCAGCUUGGCGUUGGUUGUCCAAGUUUAAGGUGGUAGGCUGGAAUCUUAGGUAAAUCCGGGAUUCUAAGGCCGAGAGCUGAUGACGAGUUAUCUUUUAGAUGACGAAGUGGUUGAUGCCAUGCUUCCAAGAAAAGCUUCUAAGCUUCAGGUAACCAGGAACCGUACCCCAAACCGACACAGGUGGUUGGGUAGAGAAUACCAAGGCGCUUGAGAGAACUCGGGUGAAGGAACUAGGCAAAAUGGCACCGUAACUUCGGGAGAAGGUGCGCCGGUGAGGGUGAAGGACUUGCUCCGUAAGCUCAUGCCGGUCGAAGAUACCAGGCCGCUGCGACUGUUUAUUAAAAACACAGCACUCUGCAAACACGAAAGUGGACGUAUAGGGUGUGACGCCUGCCCGGUGCCGGAAGGUUAAUUGAUGGGGUUAGCUAACGCGAAGCUCUUGAUCGAAGCCCCGGUAAACGGCGGCCGUAACUAUAACGGUCCUAAGGUAGCGAAAUUCCUUGUCGGGUAAGUUCCGACCUGCACGAAUGGCGUAACGAUGGCGGCGCUGUCUCCACCCGAGACUCAGUGAAAUUGAAAUCGCUGUGAAGAUGCAGUGUAUCCGCGGCUAGACGGAAAGACCCCGUGAACCUUUACUAUAGCUUUGCACUGGACUUUGAAUUUGCUUGUGUAGGAUAGGUGGGAGGCUUUGAAGCGUGGACGCCAGUUCGCGUGGAGCCAACCUUGAAAUACCACCCUGGCAACUUUGAGGUUCUAACUCAGGUCCGUUAUCCGGAUCGAGGACAGUGUAUGGUGGGUAGUUUGACUGGGGCGGUCUCCUCCUAAAGAGUAACGGAGGAGUACGAAGGUGCGCUCAGACCGGUCGGAAAUCGGUCGUAGAGUAUAAAGGCAAAAGCGCGCUUGACUGCGAGACAGACACGUCGAGCAGGUACGAAAGUAGGUCUUAGUGAUCCGGUGGUUCUGUAUGGAAGGGCCAUCGCUCAACGGAUAAAAGGUACUCCGGGGAUAACAGGCUGAUACCGCCCAAGAGUUCAUAUCGACGGCGGUGUUUGGCACCUCGAUGUCGGCUCAUCACAUCCUGGGGCUGAAGCCGGUCCCAAGGGUAUGGCUGUUCGCCCAUUAAAGCGGCACGCGAGCUGGGUUUAGAACGUCGUGAGACAGUUCGGUCCCUAUCCGCCGCGCGCGUCAGAAACUUGAGGAAACCUGUCCCUAGUACGAGAGGACCGGGACGGACGAACCUCUGGUGUACCAGUUGUUCCACCAGGAGCACGGCUGGAUAGCUACGUUCGGACAGGAUAACCGCUGAAAGCAUCUAAGCGGGAAACCUAUUCCAAGACCAGGUUUCUUACCCUUUUAGAGGGAUAAGGUCACCCACAGACUAUGGGUUCAAUAGGCCAGACCUGCAAGCGUAGUAAUACGUUCAGGGAACUGGCACUAAUCGACCG
Molecule: ribosomal RNA, 2128 nt
Filed under: Staphylococcus capitis
Lineage: Bacteria; Bacillati; Bacillota; Bacilli; Caryophanales; Staphylococcaceae
Description: partial 23S ribosomal RNA
Rfam family: Bacterial large subunit ribosomal RNA
Source: RNAcentral